Molecule: long non-coding RNA, 1197 nt
Filed under: Sus scrofa (pig)
Lineage: Eukaryota; Metazoa; Chordata; Mammalia; Artiodactyla; Suidae
Description: lncRNA (ENSSSCG00005026799.1)
Source: RNAcentral
AUUCUCACAGACUAUAUUUAUAAGGCUGGGUAAUUUUAAGGCUUUCAGAGAGUGACUGUACCAUAAUUCUGACUCAUCCCUUGUUGUUGGAUUCCUGGUUUGUUUGGUAACUUUUAAAAUUUUACUACAAUUUUAAAUUUACAGAAAUAUCAUAGAGAAUUCUCAUAUAUCUUUUACCCACAUUUACCGAGUGUUUCAUUUUAUCCCAUUUACUUUACAUUUACUUUAUGACUUAUGAUUUGCUAUGUCUAUAUCUACAUGUUGUAUUUUCUAAAUCAUUUGAGAGUAAGUUGCAGACAUUAUGCCCUUUAGUCCCAAAAGUUCAGUAUGCAUUCCUUAAGAAUAGGGACAUUUUGGAGUUUGAGUCAUGGCUCAGUGGUAAGGAACAUGACUAGUGUCCAUGAGGACAUGGGUUCAAUCUCUGGCCUUGUUCAGGUUAAGGAUCCAGCAUUGCCAUGAGUGAGCUGUGGGCCUACACCACAGCCACAGCAAUGCCAGAUCUGAGCCGUGUCUGUGACCCACACCACAGCUCACGGCAACACCAGAUCCUUAAUCCACUGAGCGAGGCCAGAAAUCGAACCUGCAACCUCAUGGUUCCUAGUCAGAUUCAUUUCCACUGUGCCACAAUGGGAACUCCUUUCUAGGGAAUCUUGAUUCCUUUGAAUGGAGAAGGAUAUUUAGAAACCAAGAUCUGGGUGCUGAGUGUGCCCAUUGCUGCUGGAGUAUUAUUGCUUCUAGGCUCUUGGCAAACAGCAAGGAAAUAGAUAUUGCUAAAGAUAUAUAUAUAUGGAAAUGUCAAGAGAGAUGGAGAUAGAUGUUAUAAGAAGGAAUCAGAUAUUAAAAAUCAUGAAUUCACACUGGUAUUUCCAGUCUAGCCCCAUAGGGUUUAUUCUCUUCUUCUCCCUUUUCCGUGUUUGUUAACCCUCUUCUCCAAAAAAAAAAAUUAAUUUUAAAACUUUCUCCUUGUUUUGUUAUGUUCCAUCCAGUGAUCAUCUUGAUGUAAGACUGUUGUUAUUUCCUUAGGAUGCACUCUACUUUCAGAACUUCCUCCUCAGCCUCCUGUAUCCCGAGGCUAACAGGGGACAGCUGUCUUCAGGGCUUGUGCAUUUCUGUGCAGAGCUUGCAGACCUGGAAGUUAGGAAGGCCAGUAGCAGGUUCAGCAAGCGUACUGAGCCAGAGGCCCAUCCGGGGGAAUAG